RNAcentral lists this ribosomal RNA (760 nucleotides) under Halomonas sp. RNAcentral describes it as "bacterial SSU rRNA". It matches the Rfam family "Bacterial small subunit ribosomal RNA", at positions 41 to 797 of the family's 1533-position model. The record is from RNAcentral. Lineage: Bacteria; Pseudomonadati; Pseudomonadota; Gammaproteobacteria; Oceanospirillales; Halomonadaceae.
GGCUGGCGCAGCUACCAUGCAGUCGAGCGGUAACAGGGGUAGCUUGCUACCCGCUGACGAGCGGCGGACGGGUGAGUAAUGCAUAGGAAUCUGCCCGAUAGUGGGGGAUAACCUGGGGAAACCCAGGCUAAUACCGCAUACGUCCUACGGGAGAAAGGGGGCUCCGGCUCCCGCUAUUGGAUGAGCCUAUGUCGGAUUAGCUAGUUGGUAAGGUAAUGGCUUACCAAGGCAACGAUCCGUAGCUGGUCUGAGAGGAUGAUCAGCCACAUCGGGACUGAGACACGGCCCGAACUCCUACGGGAGGCAGCAGUGGGGAAUAUUGGACAAUGGGGGCAACCCUGAUCCAGCCAUGCCGCGUGUGUGAAGAAGGCCCUCGGGUUGUAAAGCACUUUCAGCGAGGAAGAACGCCUAUCGGUUAAUACCCGGUAGGAAAGACAUCACUCGCAGAAGAAGCACCGGCUAACUCCGUGCCAGCAGCCGCGGUAAUACGGAGGGUGCAAGCGUUAAUCGGAAUUACUGGGCGUAAAGCGCGCGUAGGUGGCUUGAUAAGCCGGUUGUGAAAGCCCCGGGCUCAACCUGGGAACGGCAUCCGGAACUGUCAGGCUAGAGUGCAGGAGAGGAAGGUAGAAUUCCCGGUGUAGCGGUGAAAUGCGUAGAGAUCGGGAGGAAUACCAGUGGCGAAGGCGGCCUUCUGGACUGACACUGACACUGAGGUGCGAAAGCGUGCGUAGCAAACAGGAUUAGAUACCCUGGGUAGUCA